GAAGACAGCUUAGUUUCGACUGCGCAGUUAUGUUAGAUGCUAAACUUUCACUAUUUUACCGUUUUUUAACAAAAUAACUGUUAAGUGGUAGAAUCCAUGCAAACUACAAAACACCGUUUUGAAUGAGAAUAUGUAAUUUACUUGAUUAAUUUAAUGUACACAUGCCUCAUUAUUUCAGGUUCUAAUUGAGAAAUGCAACCGUUACAUUUCAAGGGGACAACCUCGAUGACGUAUGAUGGAGACAAAUGUGACUUGCGGAGGGCGCAGCUCUUGUGUGGUCUGUGCUCAAGAUAUGAAGGGACAUUUCACGUAAAAAUCCUCCACAAUACAAACCCUCUGGGACUUGAAUAAGUGGAUAGUCGGCUACCCAGCACAAUGGAUGCAGACAGCCUUCAAUAACUUUGGGGUUUUGCUUUGUACAGUAAAUUUCAGUACCAGUAAAUUAAUUUUCGUAUUUUAUCUCGUAUAUUAAUUACAUAAGAUGGCAGAAAUGGAGAUGAGGGAGUGGAGGGCCUCUCUCAAAACAGGCAUUGCUGACAGAAGAUCUCUGGCUCUUGCGUAGGUAUCACGCGUCAUCUUUGUAAGGAUAUUCAGCACUUGACAUACAAGAGGACAAUGGAGGAGGUGAAAAGAGGAGGAAUUGUUUCUCUCAUCAGUGAUUCCGAAAUCCAGGACAUCUUCCAGGGGAUCCAUCAAGGCUCCGUAAAACCCACAUGGAACCAGUGGUGACAAUACAAGGCUGGAAAGUCAUCUCAGUACCCCAAACGUUUCAUCCUGCAUUGUCGGCGCAUAUGGAGGACCUCCUAGCAAAAAUAAGCAAUGUUCCGUUGGAGGGCAAGAAGAAAUAAUUGCAAGAAAACAUUCAGCUGGUUUUUAAUUAACUGAUUCCCGAGAUACAUUUAUUUAGUAAAAAGAGGGGUACUAUUGUAUAUUACUAUUACAUAAUUACUAGACGUUGUGAAAUUUACAUAACUUUUUUUUGCCAAACAGCUCAGCAUUCUGUUACUGAGAAGAACCGAAGGGUUCAGUACAUUUUGGGCAGAGAAGUCAUAUCUUGUGGAGUGUGUCAUUUAAAUCACCAGAUAGAUUCUUCAACACAGCAAGAGAAAAAUCCUUUGCCUACCUUUUGACUGCAACAACGUUUAAAGGGAUAGUUCACCCAAAGAUGAAAAUUCUGUCAUAAUUUUUGUCAGAUCAAACCUGUAUGACUCUCUAUCUUCUGCAGAACACAAUAGAAGGUAUUUAGAAGAAUGUAGGUGACCGGCGUUGUUCCAUUGUCCCAUUGUCCGUUUUGCCACUUUCCUCAAAAUAUCUUAUUUUGUGUUCUGCGAAAGAGAUAAGUCAUACUGCUUUGAAAUGAGUAAAGAGUGUGAGUAAAGAUUACAGACUUUUCUUUUUUUGUGAACUUUUCAUUUAAGGCAGGGCUGCCAAAAUUACUGUAGGGCAGGUGUCCUGCAGAGUUUUGAUCCAACCUGCCUCAAAACACCUGCCUGCAAGUUCCUGCUGGGCUUAAUGAGACCUUGAUUAGCUGCUUCAGAUGUGUUUGACACUGGCCCUCCAGGACCGAACCUGUGGACCCUUGCUUCAAGUUGGGGAAUGACUGUUGGGCAUCUGAGAUAUCAGCUGACAUCUAAUUGCUGUAAGGACAUCUUCGGACCCCCUUCUGUCAUGAUGUCCAUAUGGUCUUCCAGGAAACCCAAUCCGGGCAAGGCACUCAAACUUUUGUCAUGAAAUAGCGAUUGAUAUGAAGUCUUACACAAGCACUUAAUAUUAACAGUAAAUAUCUAUUAAACCUUAUAAUACAAUACCAAGACAUACAUGAUCUGUAAUAAUCCUGUCAGGUCUCGGGUCUGAUCACAUGUUUCUUUUUUUUCUUGUUUGUCUCUGUGUUUGUGUUUUUGUCGAGCACACAGAGUUGUUUUAACAGCUCGCUAUGUGCUUGAGGUCGACCCCUUCCCAUUGUGGUCCCAGUUAUUACUUCACACUCUGCCAUUAGAUAUCCUAUUCAGCUUUCUGUGUUUUUCUGUCCUGUGCCUGACGGUUUUGGGAAAAAAAAUAGUGCUGACUGCCAUAGUUAACCCAAUGUAGUCUUGUCUUAUAAAGUAUUAGUCUUACCUGUAUCUCAUCUUGUUUCGUUCAGGCUCCAGUGUCUUUUGUUGCAUGCCAGUUUUGCCUUCAGUUUUCUCCCCUGGCUUUCCUCUCUCUGGGACACUUUGUGGAUCUCUGAGUUCUCAGCUAUUCAGCAUCUAUCACAGUUCUGCAGCAGACUUCAGUCAAGCAGUGGAUUAUAUCUCUCCCAGAGACGGUUUCGUCUGUAUUCCCGAGUGGAUUAUAUCUCUCCCUUGCACUGUGUCUACACCGGACCCGACAUGCACGACGUCUUGCCGUGCCGCAUUCAAUGUGGACAAUAUUUGGAAUUUAUAAGGGGUUCUGAUGCGUUUGUAAUGUCUUUUGUCGUGUCCGGUGUAGACAUGGUGCUAGUGGGUUUCGUCACUCCCCAGAGCAGGUCCAUCUCAGCCAGGAGGCACUCUCAGUCAAGCUGUUCUUCCCCCCGGAGCGUCCCAGUCCCACGCUGACAGCCCCAGCCUCGUCACCUCUCUCCCCCGACCUGGCCGAGUGCUUGAGCCUGUUGCCCCAGUCCAGAACUGUCUUGUGCUAUUUGUGACUUUGCACUGUCUGUUUAUUUAAUAAAUCUUGUGUACGCUG
Molecule: long non-coding RNA, 2706 nt
Organism: Triplophysa dalaica
Lineage: Eukaryota; Metazoa; Chordata; Actinopteri; Cypriniformes; Nemacheilidae
Exons: 7
Source: RefSeq, a predicted model, not a curated record